UUCGUUAUUACUUGUCAAGAAGCAUGCUCAAUAUUAUUGAUUAAUUUUAACAUGUAAGCGGUUUAGGAUUAAAAUCAGAUUUUUUAAAGUUCUUUCACUCUAAUAGCAUGUUACUCUACAUUUGUAGAAAAUCUGUUAAUAAAAAAUAAUACAAGUUCACCUUUUUAAUUUGACAAGAUGUGAGCAUGUAUAGUAUAAUGUAA
RNAcentral lists this long non-coding RNA (203 nucleotides) under Nicotiana benthamiana. RNAcentral describes it as "long non-coding RNA (NBEN_LNC000160)". The record is from RNAcentral. Lineage: Eukaryota; Viridiplantae; Streptophyta; Magnoliopsida; Solanales; Solanaceae.